GUCUCGGUAGUCUAAAGGCUCAGGACUCUCGCAUGCAAGAGAUCCGGGUUCAAUUCCCGGCCGAAGCA
Molecule: transfer RNA, 68 nt
Organism: Acromyrmex echinatior (Panamanian leafcutter ant)
Lineage: Eukaryota; Metazoa; Arthropoda; Insecta; Hymenoptera; Formicidae
Rfam family: tRNA
About the family: Transfer RNA (tRNA) molecules are approximately 80 nucleotides in length. Their secondary structure includes four short double-helical elements and three loops (D, anti-codon, and T loops).
Source: Rfam